RNAcentral lists this ribosomal RNA (432 nucleotides) under uncultured bacterium. RNAcentral's name for it is "partial 16S ribosomal RNA". It matches the Rfam family "Bacterial small subunit ribosomal RNA", at positions 29 to 507 of the family's 1533-position model. The record is from RNAcentral.
ACGCACGCUGGCGGCCUGCCUAACACAUGCAAGUCGAACGAGACCUUCGGGUCUAGUGGCGCACGGGUGCGUAACGCGUGGGAACCUGCCCUUAGGUUCGGAAUAACUCCCCGAAAGGGGUGCUAAUACCGGAUAAUGUCUUCGGACCAAAGAUUUAUCGCCUUUGGAUGGGCCCGCGUUGGAUCAGCUAGUUGGUAGGGUAAAAGCCUACCAAGGCGACGAUCCAUAGCUGGUCUGAGAGGAUGAUCAGCCACACUGGGACUGAGACACGGCCCAGACUCCUACGGGAGGCAGCAGUGGGGAAUAUUGGACAAUGGGCGAAAGCCUGAUCCAGCAAUGCCGCGUGAGUGAUGAAGGCCUUAGGGUUGUAAAGCUCUUUUACCCGGGAUGAUAAUGACAGUACCGGGAGAAUAAGCUCCGGCUAACUCCGUG